AUUGAACGCUGGCGGCAUGCCUUACACAUGCAAGUCGAACGGCAGGCACGGGAGCAAUCCUGGUGGCGAGUGGGCGAACGGGUGAGUAAUAUAUCGGAACGUGCCCAGUCGUGGGGGAUAACGUAGCGAAAGCUACGCUAAUACCGCAUACGAUCUAUGGAUGAAAGCGGGGGAUCGCAAGACCUCGCGCGAUUGGAGCGGCCGAUAUCAGAUUAGCUAGUUGGUGGGGUAAAAGCUCACCAAGGCGACGAUCUGUAGCUGGUCUGAGAGGACGACCAGCCACACUGGAACUGAGACACGGUCCAGACUCCUACGGGAGGCAGCAGUGGGGAAUUUUGGACAAUGGGCGAAAGCCUGAUCCAGCAAUGCCGCGUGCAGGACGAAGGCCUUCGGGUUGUAAACUGCUUUUGUACGGAACGAAAAAGUCUGCCCUAAUACGGUGGGCUCAUGACGGUACCGUAAGAAUAAGCACCGGCUAACUACGUG
RNAcentral lists this ribosomal RNA (486 nucleotides) under uncultured bacterium. RNAcentral describes it as "bacterial SSU rRNA". It matches the Rfam family "Bacterial small subunit ribosomal RNA", at positions 30 to 507 of the family's 1533-position model. The record is from RNAcentral.